CUUGGUGUAAUUCUAUUUUUUCUUUCUGCCAAGCUGGUAAUAUCAAUAGAAGAGCUGUAGAAACAGAGAAAUAUUUCUGCCACUGCUGAUGAGUUUAAUGCUGUGUCUUCCAGUCCUAGAGAUGUACAGCAAACUGAGGGUCCAGAUGAAAAGCAAAAGGUCUAAUUGAAGACAGAUUCAACACACAAGUGGAAGUAGAAAAGAAGAUGAUGCAGCCUGCCCCCAUCACAGCCCAGGAUAUCAGAGAACAGGAAAGCCAUCAUGAAUGCCUGAAACUUACUGAAGCCCAAAGAGAAGGCUCCAUGCAUACCAGGGAAUGGGCCAUGAUUGCGUUAGGUGCUCUCAUAGACUUCACUGUCAUACAUCUAUUGUUGUACCCAAACUCCGGACCCCACAAAAUUCUACCAAGAGACCAAAUCUGAUGCAAAAACAAAAGAGCCUUUAUUGUGAGUUAACUGGGGCCUCUCCCUCCAUUUGAGGCUGAAACAAAGCAGGAGAAAUCCUGAGCAGCAUGGGGUGAGGGCUUUAACAGUGGCUAGACAAAAGGGGCUUGGGGUACUUCAAAACUGCAUAGUUACAGACUUGGGAUUGGCUCAAGCCCUAGUUUGGGUAUCUGGACUGAGCUAGCUGGCUAUUUUGCUACUAGGUAUUGCAACAUUUUAGUCUCAGCAGAACAACAUCUGGAGUUGUUUGUUCCUUCCUGAUUAGCCUUUCCUUGUUGGUGGUAGUUGUUCAUGGUUCUCUCUGUAACUAGGGUUAAGGUCAGGGGCAGUGGGGGGUUGGGGGUCAGGCAUCCUGCUCAGGUCUUUUUGCUAUGGCUGUAGUUCUACAGAGGCUGUCACUUUUAGCAUCUGACUCAGACACCUCUCUGAACUUCUCUGUUUACAGGAUUCUCUUUGUGGUGCCAGCUCAAAGGCAGUUUGCAAUAGGUUUCAUUAAUUUCCUAGGAAGCGUUUGACUGCACACCCAGCAAUUGGUCAUAGCUGUUCUUUGUGGUGGAAGGGACUGGGUGGGUUGACCCAGUAGGCCUGCAAUAACACACCCCACCCCUAAGGAUGGGAGAGGUGUCUACAAGAACUCAAUUGUCACACUUAUUAUCCUUCUGAUUUAUGUGUU
Molecule: long non-coding RNA, 1116 nt
Organism: Peromyscus eremicus (cactus mouse)
Lineage: Eukaryota; Metazoa; Chordata; Mammalia; Rodentia; Cricetidae
Exons: 3
Source: RefSeq, a predicted model, not a curated record